Panicum virgatum (switchgrass) is the source of this 573-nucleotide long non-coding RNA. RefSeq lists it as uncharacterized. Lineage: Eukaryota; Viridiplantae; Streptophyta; Magnoliopsida; Poales; Poaceae. The record is from RefSeq and is a predicted model, not a curated record. The transcript has 3 exons.
AGACAACUUCUUGCUUGACACUGGCAUGAACCCAGUGUUGACAAUCGGCAACUUUUACGCAUACUCAACAUCACCAAGAAGAAACCAGGAGCCUGGACUGGCUCUUAAUCAUAAGGUCAAGAUGGUCCCCAAGGGUCUCGUGUUGGCAAGAGGCGUCCAUUGAAGUAUACAAUAAUGGGCUGGUUAACGACCUUAUGAAGCCAGCAAUCGACGAGGCAAGCCCACAAAUGGAUCUACCCAUGGGAUGAAUGUCCAAUUUAUUGUUGAAUGUGAUGAAGGAUAGUAGUGUUUGUCUGUUUGAUACAUCCAAAUAUGAUGUAGGUUGAUGAGCUGCUCUCGCGCGGUGUGAACGUGACAGUGUGUACCAAGGCCAGCUGGAUGUGAUAUGCUCGACAUUUGGUGCAGAAGCAUGGGUGAGCAAACUGAAGUAAGGCUACAAUCUUCCCAUUCUCGGUAGCUCUUGCAUGGCUUCUUUUAUGAUAAGAGUGUCCAUUUAAUUUAGCUAGACUAUUAAAAGUGUUUAGCCUUAAGUUUAUUUUCAGAAACAUAUAUUUUGUCAAGAAACAAUCUUAC